GUGGAACCGGAAGAUUAAUUGUAAUUGG
RNAcentral lists this non-coding RNA (28 nucleotides) under Cricetulus griseus (Chinese hamster). Lineage: Eukaryota; Metazoa; Chordata; Mammalia; Rodentia; Cricetidae. The record is from RNAcentral.